UGAAAGGCAACACAUUUCGUUGACUGAAAACCAGAGUAUUCUAAGUCAACUUUUGACAAGAUUAGAGUUAAUAUGCUCAGGGUAGGUUUUAGUGCAUAAUCUGUUUCUCUAGCAACUUUCUACAGUGCUAUCUAGCCUUGAAAGUGGUUUUUCAA
Long non-coding RNA from Haliotis rubra (blacklip abalone), 155 nucleotides. RefSeq lists it as uncharacterized. The record is from RefSeq and is a predicted model, not a curated record. The transcript is spliced from 3 exons. Lineage: Eukaryota; Metazoa; Mollusca; Gastropoda; Lepetellida; Haliotidae.